Xenopus laevis (African clawed frog) is the source of this 1693-nucleotide long non-coding RNA. RefSeq lists it as uncharacterized. The transcript has 3 exons. The record is from RefSeq and is a predicted model, not a curated record. Lineage: Eukaryota; Metazoa; Chordata; Amphibia; Anura; Pipidae.
UCAGUUUAUUUUUUUAGGGAUUGCCAGAAAGCAUCCUAGGGACUGGGGUUUUGGUCUUUAAGAUCUUUUAUCCCCCUAAGCACAUUGCAUCAUGGUUGGAGUCUUCAGUGUUUCAUCAUCUGGAUCAGGGGGAACAUGAUGUGUGAACCAGUUGAAUUGCAAAUGGUCUUUGCACCUUAUUUUCUCAUGAGAUGGCUGGGAUAUUGGACGAUGCAGAUUCCAUUGGCUCUUUCUGGAAAAACAAGUUGUUAAGGGGCAUGUGCACAUGAGAAAGCUCUUUGACCUGCGUUCACAUUGCCUUUCAAUCCACCUUAAAUGCAUGGGAAAUGGAUAGUUCUAUUUUCUAAAUGAGGGAUGUGGUAGGAGCAUUGGACUGUAUACCUAUCCUAAUUUCCAAUUUCCUUUCCUACCUUUUCAUCUGACCUAGAGAAAGAGUCAAGGCAAAGAUUUAUAACAAUCUGUCCUCCUGUAGAGUAUAAUCUAAAACCAAAAAUCAGAUGCGGUGCAUACACAUUUUGUCCUCUUCAUGUUUUAAAAAUACCUAUACCAUUUUUUUCAGAUCCAUGGACGAUGAAUGAGCGAAGAUGGCACUGGUGCAUGUGUGCAUCUUACCGGUGUUCUAAUUAGAGCAGAUUAAGCAGUCAUAUAUCUGUAUGUAUAUAGCUAAUGUUAUGCUGUAGGUAUAAAAAAAAGAGAGGCAGUUACAAUAAAGUUACAAUCAGAUAUAUUCCUUGUUAACAGGAUCCUUGUUGGACUGGGGGGGGUCAGGGCCCACUGGAGCUGCCAGGGCCCCCGCACCCUCCCAAGGGCCUCCUCUCUAGUCAUAGCAAAUCUCCCUCCCCAGUCAUAGCAACUCCCCCCCUGCCCUCUCCCACUCUCCUGUGAGUGAGCAGGUGAUUCAAGUGGGUGGAGUGGGCAGGGCAAUCAGGGGAGUGGGCAGGUCAAGCGUGAGGAGGGGGUGGAGGUCAGACUGUGUGGAGUGGGUUUGGGCCGUCAGGGCCCACCGGGUUUUUUCCUGGCGUCCCGCCGGCCCAGUCAUAGAGAUUAAACACAAUCCACCAUAUGUAAUAAAAAAUACUAAAUUUGCCCAGGAGCAGUAAACAAUAACAACCAAUAAGAUGUUUGCUUUUAAACAAGUGACCAGUAAAUUCUACCUGCUGAUUGGUUGCUGUGGGUUAUUGCUCCAGGGCAAACUUAGUGCCUUUAAUUACAUAAAUCCCAAACUGGGCAUAUUUCUAAAAAAUAUAAAUAGAGUUCAAUACAGUUUACUAGUGGAGAACUUCCCAGCUUUCUGUUCACAUGUAUAUGAUUGUUAGGGACAUAUUUAUCAAAGGGUAAUUAUUGAGGGAGGUUUUUGUUUAUUUCUACAAUCUGAUAAAGAUGCCCCUAUACUGCAUACAGAACACUGAUUUUGUCAAUCCUGUCAUUUAUAUUCACCCUUAUCCACUAACCAUCAUUCCUUUGUGGUAACCCAAAAUAAUAAUUGUGGUCAGUUACAAAAGAAUUGAACACUCAAAGUGUACAACACGGUUGCCCCAUAACUGUCGCCAGAUAUGGUGAAACUAUCCCAGACAGCCCAUAGGGUUAUCGUGUUGGUCCAGCGCUACAUUUGCAGCAACAGGAGGCAAUCAAGUCUGCAGAAAAGAGGGGCAGUUCAGUAUAAGAUCAUAUCCAGAACAUUAGAUUAUAUAAG